This is a non-coding RNA of Cervus elaphus (red deer), 71 nucleotides long. Lineage: Eukaryota; Metazoa; Chordata; Mammalia; Artiodactyla; Cervidae. The record is from the annotation of a RefSeq genome assembly.
UCCCAGGUGGCUCAGUGGUAAGGUAUCUGCCCAUGGUGCAGGAGACCCAGGUUUGAUCCCUGGGUUGGGAA